CCUGCUCAGGAUGAACGCUAGCGGCAGGCCUAAUACAUGCAAGUCGAGGGGUAACAUGCGAGCUUGCUCGUGAUGACGACCGGCGGACGGGUGCGUAACGCGUAUGCAACCUACCCUUUACUGGGGGAUAGCCCGGAGAAAUCCGGAUUAAUACCCCAUGGUACUAUUACAACACAAGUUGUUAGGAGGAAAGCUUCGGUGGUUUGGGAUGGGCAUGCGUUAGAUUAGCUAGUUGGUAAGGUAAUGGCUUACCAAGGCUACGAUCUAUAGGGGGCCUGAGAGGGUGAACCCCCACACUGGUACUGAGACACGGACCAGACUCCUACGGGAGGCAGCAGUGAGGAAUAUUGGUCAAUGGACGAAAGUCUGAACCAGCCAUGCCGCGUGCAGGAUGAAUGCCCUAUGGGUUGUAAACUGCUUUUAUUUAGGAAGAAACCCCCCGACGUGUCGGGGGCUGACGGUACUAAACGAAUAAGGACCGGCUAACUCCGUGCCAGCAGCCGCGGUAAUACGGAGGGUGCAAGCGUUAUCCGGAAUCAUUGGGUUUAAAGGGUCCGCAGGCGGACUUUCAAGUCAGUGGUGAAAUCCCAUCGCUCAACGAUGGAACUGCCAUUGAAACUGUUAGUCUUGAAUUCGGUCGAAGUGGGCGGAAUGUGUCAUGUAGCGGUGAAAUGCUUAGAUAUGACACAGAACACCGAUAGCGAAGGCAGCUCACUAGGCCUGAAUUGACGCUCAGGGACGAAAGCGUGGGGAGCGAACAGGAUUAGAUACCCUGGUAGUCCACGCCGUAAACUAUCAAUACUCGUUUUCGGCGAUAUACAGUCGGAGACUAAGCGAAAGUGAUAAGUAUUGCACCUGGGGAGUACGAUCGCAAGGUUGAAACUCAAAGGAAUUGACGGGGGCCCGCACAAGCGGUGGAGCAUGUGGUUUAAUUCGAUGAUACGCGAGGAACCUUACCAGGGCUUAAAUGCAGAUUGACAGGACUGGAAACAGUUUUUUCUUCGGACAAUUUGCAAGGUGCUGCAUGGUUGUCGUCAGCUCGUGCUGUGAAGUGUCGGGUUAAGUCCCAUAACGAGCGCAACCCCUAUCUUUAGUUGCUAGCAGGUAAUGCUGAGGACUCUAGAGAAACUGCCCGUGCAAACGGUGAGGAAGGUGGGGACGACGUCAAGUCAUCACGGCCCUUACGUCCUGGGCCACACACGUGCUACAAUGGCAAGUACAGAAGGAAGCUACCUAGUGAUAGGAUGCGAAUCUCUAAAGCUUGUCUCAGUUCGGAUUGAAGUCUGAAACUCGACUUCAUGAAGCUGGAAUCGCUAGUAAUCGCGCAUCAGCCAUGGCGCGGUGAAUACGUUCCCGGGCCUUGUACACACCGCCCGUCAAGCCAUGGAAGCUGGGGGUACCUAAAGUCGGUAACCGAAAGGAGCUGCCUAGGGUAAAACUGGUAACUGGGGCUAAGUCGUAACAAGGUAGCCGUACCGGAAGGU
Molecule: ribosomal RNA, 1484 nt
Filed under: uncultured prokaryote
Description: partial 16S ribosomal RNA
Rfam family: Bacterial small subunit ribosomal RNA
Source: RNAcentral